Molecule: long non-coding RNA, 832 nt
Organism: Saccostrea cuccullata (small rock oyster)
Lineage: Eukaryota; Metazoa; Mollusca; Bivalvia; Ostreida; Ostreidae
Exons: 2
Source: RefSeq, a predicted model, not a curated record
UUUUUAUACGCCCGUCUUAAGACGGGACGUAUUAUGUUAUAGGCUUCAUGUCCGUCUGUCUGUCCAGUUAUCAAACUUUGUCAGCUGAUACAUCUUGGGUAGAAGGUGUGUCGCGCACAAAAAGUAGGUCGCUCUGACCUAUAAUUAAAAAGUUAUAGCCAAAUAUGGAAAAAUCCUGUCCGGUCCAUAAAUAGAAAACUAUUAGACUUAGAAUCAUCAAACUUGGCCACUUCAUGCAUCUUAGGUAGAAGGUGUGUCGCGACCUAUUUCAAGGUCACUGUGACCUUUAAUUAAAGUGAAAUUUAAAAAAAAAAAUGUCUUUUUUUUCUCUUCAUUUACACACUCCAAAAAAUGUAAAAGUAUUGCACUAUCCUUGUUAGAAAAAUGUUAAAUCAAGAAAAUACUUAUUUUUUUUAGCAUAUACUUGACAGCAAUCUAUAACAAAUGUAAUGUAUGUUAAAGAAAUUCCACCACUCCCAUGAGUUUAAUUAUCAAGCACUGGUCAAGAAGAAUUUUGAUAACGGAAAAUUGCAUGUCAAAUUAGAGAGAGAAAUUAAUGAGUUUAGUGUGAGGAAGAGCGUCGGUGCUAUCUAUAUCCCUUGAGUAUUGGGCCAAAUGGGUAAUCCUGUUGGAUUAAAAAUAGCUCUUGUUGGCUAGCAUAAGUUUUAAAAUGAAUUUGAUGAGAAGUAAAUAAAAAUAAUUUGAUUUUGCAUAAUAAACUAUUUUGAUAUUACAUAAUAUUAUGAACUUUAAAAAAAUAAUUUUAUGGGGGUGGGAUGGAAUCAGCAUGUCCAUAUGAAUUGCAUAUUAAAACCUGUCUGCCAUUAACUCU